AUCCAGAUGGUGAGUCCCAAAUAGAACGAAAUGCGCAUCCUGGUGGAU
Molecule: non-coding RNA, 48 nt
Filed under: Trichobilharzia regenti
Lineage: Eukaryota; Metazoa; Platyhelminthes; Trematoda; Strigeidida; Schistosomatidae
Source: RNAcentral